RNAcentral lists this unclassified non-coding RNA (238 nucleotides) under uncultured fungus. RNAcentral describes it as "sequence contains ITS2". The record is from RNAcentral. Lineage: Eukaryota; Fungi.
AACGCACAUUGCACCUUCUAGUAUUCUAGAGGGUAUGCCUGUUCGAGCGUCAUUGCAACAAUCAAGCACUGCUUGGUAUUGGAUGUCACUUCUGUGGUGCAUCUCAAAAGUAUCGGCAGUAGCAUCUAGCUUCUAGUGUAGUAAAUUUCUUGCUACGGAGUUGGGUGUUUGACUGACAGAACCCCUAAUAUUUUAUAAAGUUGACCUCGGAUCAGGUAGGGAUACCUGCUGAACUUAA